ACGAAGCGUGUGGAGCCCAAUGAUUGGGUAUCGAUGAUCGAUGUGUGGGAAACUGAAGAAUGGAAGACAAAAUCUUAUAAAGCGAAGGAGAGUCGAUCAAAGUUGCCCUACAAUUAUAUAUCUGGUUCCUGAUCAUUUGCAGCAGCGAUGUCACUAAUCAAAUAAAAAAAUGAUGAGCAAGCUCCCUCUUUUCCGGAAUUUUACAAAGAAACCCACUACAAAAAAAAAAGGAAAGUAUGGGUAAACGAGAAAGCACAAGAUACCUAUAAGCGAUUAGUCAACAAGACUAUCGAACAAUCUCAGCCCGAAGUUACAUCCCCGAUGAAUGAGUUUGAGAUCUCCAUUGAGGUACUUGGAAGGAGGCCAGGUUACCGGAAGGGGUAUGGUAUGCUGAGGUCGUGGCUUUAAAGGAGACAGUAGUUGUGCAAGCCGAACAGAUUGCCUCACAAACCGAACAGAUUGCCUCACAAGCCGAGCAGAUGAACGCACAAGCCCAGAAGACUGCUGAUCUUGUGGCUUUAGUGCAUCAGCUAUUUGCACGUAGCCAGCCUGCAACGAGCGGUGGUAGUAGAGAUUUCUCAUCGAGAUGAGAAGUAGAAGCAUCAGUAUCUCAGAUACAAGGAGGAGGAUCCAUGGAGGCCGACAACGAAGACAAAUAUACAAGAGACGGAACCACAGACUUCAGAGGACAAAUGAUGUAUCCUUGGUUUUUCUACUUGGUUGGUCCAGCCGAUAUAACAAAUGUGGUCAGGCUGAUGGGGCUUCUGACAUUCCUACCAAGUUCCUGUCCUACACUGUAUGCGAGAGGCAAACAUUGUUGCAGAUGCACUAUCUAAACUGGGACAUGUUCUUCCUCAAAUCCAUUUGUUCUUUGUAAUUAAUGAUACAAAUUUGAUAUUGUUGUUUCUAGUUUUCUUGAUGUAAUAUGUUUUUGAGAGACUUUAUGUACUUGGAUAUGCACGAGGAAGUUUGUAAAUUAACGCUUUUAGCGCUCAAGGGGAAAUAAAAAA
Long non-coding RNA from Asparagus officinalis (garden asparagus), 1010 nucleotides. RefSeq lists it as uncharacterized. The record is from RefSeq and is a predicted model, not a curated record. NCBI's taxonomy places the organism in Eukaryota, Viridiplantae, Streptophyta, Magnoliopsida, Asparagales, Asparagaceae. The transcript is spliced from 5 exons.